GAGCUGGGUCACCUACUAAGAUUAAACCAUGACACUAUGGCAGGCCAACUUACUAGCUUUCAAGUAAGGUAACAUCUCAGACCAUCACAGGUUUUGACAGGGGAAACUCUGAAGGACCACAGGAGUUGGAGGUUCCACGUAUCUCUAAGUAGUAACAUACAAUGGGUCCAAAACAGAAGAAAGAGAACUCAAGAUUCCCGAGCCACACAGCUGUGGAUUGGAGGCUGACUCAGAGAGACCCUGGAUUCAGUGACAUACAGAGAUAACAGGUGCCAUAAGCAAAGUGAGCGGUUUGGAGAGAACACUGUACAUGACUUCCUGACUACAAUGGCCUGUGGCUGAUGAAGUACAGCACUUUGGUGGAAACAGGUGGGCAGUGUGUGUGGGUGAGGAAUAUGAUGGCUUUAAAGACAUCUUUCAAACUAGAGUGAAAUGAGAGACCAUUCUCUAAAUAAAUAUUCAGGUGGUAAUUCGCCAUAUGAAAAAUUUCAGCUGUAAGAUGUGUU
This 506-nucleotide long non-coding RNA is filed under the name Pan troglodytes (chimpanzee). RNAcentral's name for it is "long non-coding RNA NONPTRT005556". The record is from RNAcentral. Lineage: Eukaryota; Metazoa; Chordata; Mammalia; Primates; Hominidae.